GAGAGCCCGGUGCGUGGAGACACGCACGCCGGGUUCGGCGAGCGGCCCGGGGAAACGGAGCGGCAGCAAUGCCGACACCGCGCCCCGGGCCGACUCAAC
Non-coding RNA from Mycobacterium arupense, 99 nucleotides. The record is from Rfam. NCBI's taxonomy places the organism in Bacteria, Bacillati, Actinomycetota, Actinomycetes, Mycobacteriales, Mycobacteriaceae.